Molecule: ribosomal RNA, 462 nt
Filed under: uncultured bacterium
Lineage: Bacteria
Description: partial 16S ribosomal RNA
Rfam family: Bacterial small subunit ribosomal RNA
Source: RNAcentral
GAUGAACGCUGACAGAAUGCUUAACACAUGCAAGUCGAUGGGGAAGUGGUGCUUGCACCAUGGCAACCAUGGCGGACGGGUGAGUAACGCGUAAGGGACUUACCUGCAGGACUGGGAUAACAGGGGGAAACUCCUGACAAGACCGGAUAAUGUCAUGGAGCUGCAUGGCUUUAUGAUGAAAGGAGACGCCUGCGGAGAGCCUUGCGUCCUAUUAGCUAGUUGGUGAGGUAAUGGCUCACCAAGGCGAAGAUAGGUAGCCGGCCUGAGAGGGUGGACGGCCACAAGGGGAAUGAGAUACGGACCUUACUCCUGCGGGAGGCAGCAGUGGGGGAUAUUGGACAAUGGGGGCAACCCUGAUCCAGCAAUGCUGUGUGCACGAAGAAGGUUUUCGGAUUGUAAAGUGCUUUCAGCAGGGAAGAAGUAAGUGACGGUACCGGCAGAAGAAGCGACGGCUAAAUACGU